Molecule: transfer RNA, 77 nt
Filed under: Aquimarina sp. MAR_2010_214
Lineage: Bacteria; Pseudomonadati; Bacteroidota; Flavobacteriia; Flavobacteriales; Flavobacteriaceae
Description: tRNA-Leu
Rfam family: tRNA
About the family: Transfer RNA (tRNA) molecules are approximately 80 nucleotides in length. Their secondary structure includes four short double-helical elements and three loops (D, anti-codon, and T loops).
Source: RNAcentral
GCUCCACUAGCCCAACUGGAAGAGGCAUCGGGUUUAAGCCCCGUGCAGUCUUGGUUCGAAUCCAAGGUGGAGUACGA